Molecule: ribosomal RNA, 254 nt
Filed under: uncultured bacterium
Lineage: Bacteria
Description: partial 16S ribosomal RNA
Rfam family: Bacterial small subunit ribosomal RNA
Source: RNAcentral
UACAGAGGUGGCAAGCGUUGUUCGGAAUUACUGGGCGUAAAGGGCGCGUAGGCGGCCUUCUAAGUCAGACGUGAAAUCCCCGGGCUUAACCUGGGAACUGCAUUGGUGACUGGCAGGCUUUGAGUGUGGCAGAGGGAGGUAGAAUUCCACGUGUAGCAGUGAAAUGCGUAGAGAUGUGGAGGAAUACCGAUGGCGAAGGCAGCCUCCUGGGCCAACACUGACGCUCAUGCACGAAAGCGUGGGGAGCAAACAGG